UAGGGAAUCUUCGGCAAUGGGGGGAACCCUGACCGAGCAACGCCGCGUGAGUGAAGAAGGUUUUCGGAUCGUAAAGCUCUGUUGUUAAGGAAGAACGAGUGUGAGAAUGGAAAGUUCAUGCUGUGACGGUACCUACAGAAGAAGCAACGGCUAAAUACGUGCCAGCAGCCGCGGUAAUACGUAUGUUGCGAGCGUUAUCCGGAAUUAUUGGGCUUAAAGGGCAUCUAGGCGGUAAGACAAGUUGAAGGUGAAAACCUGUGGCUCAACCAUAGGCUUGCCUACAAAACUGUUGAACUAGAGUACUGGAAAGGUGGGUGGAACUACACGAGUAGAGGUGAAAUUCGUAGAUAUGUGUAGGAAUGCCGAUGAUGAAGAUAACUCACUGGACAGAAACUGACGCUGAAGUGCGAAAGCUAGGGGAGCAAACAGG
RNAcentral lists this ribosomal RNA (430 nucleotides) under Verrucomicrobiota bacterium. RNAcentral's name for it is "Verrucomicrobia bacterium partial 16S ribosomal RNA". It matches the Rfam family "Bacterial small subunit ribosomal RNA", at positions 355 to 776 of the family's 1533-position model. The record is from RNAcentral. Lineage: Bacteria; Pseudomonadati; Verrucomicrobiota.